UACGAAGGGGGCUAGCGUUGCUCGGAAUUACUGGGCGUAAAGGGAGCGUAGGCGGAUAUUUAAGUCAGGGGUGAAAUCCCGCAGCUCAACUGCGGAACUGCCUUUGAUACUGGGUAUCUUGAGUAUGGAAGAGGUGAGUGGAAUUCCGAGUGUAGAGGUGAAAUUCGUAGAUAUUCGGAGGAACACCAGUGGCGAAGGCGGCUCACUGGUCCAUUACUGACGCUGAGGUGCGAAAGCGUGGGGAGCAAACAGG
RNAcentral lists this ribosomal RNA (253 nucleotides) under uncultured bacterium. RNAcentral describes it as "partial 16S ribosomal RNA". It matches the Rfam family "Bacterial small subunit ribosomal RNA", at positions 524 to 776 of the family's 1533-position model. The record is from RNAcentral.